This is a non-coding RNA of Lasiosphaeria ovina, 108 nucleotides long. The record is from the annotation of a GenBank genome assembly. NCBI's taxonomy places the organism in Eukaryota, Fungi, Ascomycota, Sordariomycetes, Sordariales, Lasiosphaeriaceae.
GGGACCAUGGCGCAGCUGGUUAGCGCGCAGGUCUCAUAUUACCCACAUAUGAUCUGGUUAAACAUCAGAGUUAUCCUGAGGUCGUGAGUUCGAUCCUCACUGGUCCCA